AUAAAAAACCAAUACAUGCUUUUAAAGUAUGGAAUUUGGUGAUUUACAAUAACUUAGCAAAUCGCAUAGUGAAAACAGGCGAUAAAUCAUUCAAGUUUCUGACCUAUCAGCUUUCGACGGUAUGGUAUUGGCUUACCGUGGCAGUGACGGUUAACGGGGGAUUAGGGUUCGAUUCCGGAGAGGGAGCCUGAGAAACGGCUACCACAUCUAAGGAAGGCAGCAGGCGCGCAAAUUACCCAAUUCUAACAGCAUAAGAGAGGUAGUGACAAGAAAUAACAAUACAAGGCAGUUAAAAUGCUUUGUAAUUGGAAUGAUAGAAAUUUAAACACUUUUUAAAGUAUCAAUUGGAGGGCAAGUCUGGUGCCAGCAGCCGCGGUAAUUCCAGCUCCAAUAGCGUAUAUUAAAAUUGUUGCAGUUAAAAAGCUCGUAGUUGAAUUUCUGCUAAAAAUAACCGGUCUGCUUUUAAUAAAGGUGGUAUCUUGGUGUGUUUUUAGCAAUAAUGUCCUUUGAAAUGUUUUUUACUUCAUUGUAAGAAAUUAUAUUCAGGAUUUUUACUUUGAGAAAAUUAGAGUGUUUCUAGCAGGCUAACGCUUUGAAUA
Molecule: ribosomal RNA, 599 nt
Filed under: Hepatozoon felis
Lineage: Eukaryota; Apicomplexa; Hepatozoidae
Description: SSU rRNA
Rfam family: Eukaryotic small subunit ribosomal RNA
Source: RNAcentral